AGUGAACGCUGGCGGUAGGCCUAACACAUGCAAGUCGAACGGCAGCACAGUAAGAGCUUGCUCUUACGGGUGGCGAGUGGCGGACGGGUGAGGAAUACAUCGGAAUCUACUUUUUCGUGGGGGAUAACGUAGGGAAACUUACGCUAAUACCGCAUACGACCUACGGGUGAAAGCAGGGGAUCUUCGGACCUUGCGCGAUUGAAUGAGCCGAUGUCGGAUUAGCUAGUUGGCGGGGUAAAGGCCCACCAAGGCGACGAUCCGUAGCUGGUCUGAGAGGAUGAUCAGCCACACUGGAACUGAGGCACGGUCCAGACUCCUACGGGAGGCAGCAGUGGGGAAUAUGGGACAAGGGGCGCAAGCCUGAUCCAGCCAUACCGCGUGGGUGAAGAAGGCCUUCGGGUUGUAAAGCCCUUUUGUUGGGAAAGAAAAGCAGCAGGUUAAUACCCCGCUGUUCUGACGGUACCCAAAGAAUAAGCACCGGCUAACUUCG
This 490-nucleotide ribosomal RNA is filed under the name uncultured bacterium. RNAcentral's name for it is "partial 16S ribosomal RNA". It matches the Rfam family "Bacterial small subunit ribosomal RNA", at positions 29 to 505 of the family's 1533-position model. The record is from RNAcentral.